CAUGCAAGUCGAGCGGGGGAAGGUAGCUUGCUACUGGACCUAGCGGCGGACGGGUGAGUAAUGCUUAGGAAUCUGCCUAUUAGUGGGGGACAACGUCUCGAAAGGGAUGCUAAUACCGCAUACGUCCUACGGGAGAAAGCAGGGGAUCUUCGGACCUUGCGCUAAUAGAUGAGCCUAAGUCGGAUUAGCUAGUUGGUGGGGUAAAGGCCUACCAAGGCGACGAUCUGUAGCGGGUCUGAGAGGAUGAUCCGCCACACUGGGACUGAGACACGGCCCAGACUCCUACGGGAGGCAGCAGUGGGGAAUAUUGGACAAUGGGGGGAACCCUGAUCCAGCCAUGCCGCGUGUGUGAAGAAGGCCUUAUGGUUGUAAAGCACUUUAAGCGAGGAGGAGGCUACUCUAGUUGAUACCUAGGGAUAGUGGACGUUACUCGCAGAAUAAGCACCGGCUAACUCUGUGCCAGCAGCCGCGGUAAUACAGAGGGUGCGAGCGUUAAUCGGAUUUACUGGGCGUAAAGCGUGCGUAGGCGGCUUAUUAAGUCGGAUGUGAAAUCCCCGAGCUUAACUUGGGAAUUGCAUUCGAUACUGGUGAGCUAGAGUA
RNAcentral lists this ribosomal RNA (600 nucleotides) under uncultured bacterium. RNAcentral's name for it is "bacterial SSU rRNA". It matches the Rfam family "Bacterial small subunit ribosomal RNA", at positions 54 to 648 of the family's 1533-position model. The record is from RNAcentral.